AAGGUUUUAAGUUAACUAAACUAAUAGCCUUCAAAGCUAUAAAUAUAAGAAAUAUUACCUUUUAAACUUUA
This 71-nucleotide transfer RNA is filed under the name Heleodromia immaculata. Its description in RNAcentral is "tRNA-Trp". The record is from RNAcentral. Lineage: Eukaryota; Metazoa; Arthropoda; Insecta; Diptera; Empididae.